CUACAGCUACUACCAACACCCAGCCUGCUUUUGGAAGUUCUAGUCCUGUAUUCUCAUUUGGUUCAGCUCCUGUUAAUAACGAUCAGAUGAACAUGGAGGACAGUAUGGCCGAGGACACAGUUCAAGCAACUCCACCAGCAAAUCAACCUGCAACUCCUGUGUUUGGCCAACAACCUGCCCCACUUCAAUCAAAUUUUGCAUUUGGAGCAUCAACUCCAACAGGGGCUACUCCUUUCCAGUUUGGGAGUCAACAGAACAUCACCCCCCAGAAUCCAUCUCCAUUUCAAGCUUCUGGAAGUCUCGAAUUUAAUGCUGGUGGGAGUU
This 324-nucleotide long non-coding RNA is filed under the name Vigna radiata. RNAcentral's name for it is "long non-coding RNA (VRAD_LNC007940)". The record is from RNAcentral. Lineage: Eukaryota; Viridiplantae; Streptophyta; Magnoliopsida; Fabales; Fabaceae.